This 465-nucleotide ribosomal RNA is filed under the name uncultured bacterium. Its description in RNAcentral is "partial 16S ribosomal RNA". It matches the Rfam family "Bacterial small subunit ribosomal RNA", at positions 338 to 795 of the family's 1533-position model. The record is from RNAcentral.
CCUACGGGAGGCAGCAGUGGGGAAUUUUGCGCAAUGCUCGUAAGAGUGACGCAGCGACGCCGCGUGAAUGACGAAGGCCUUCGGGUCGUAAAGUUCUUUCGACAGGGAAGAAAAUGCCUAUAAGUAACUGUGUAUGUAUUGACGGUACCUGUAUAAGCAGCCCCGGCUAACUCCGUGCCAGCAGCCGCGGUAAUACGGAGGGGGCGAGCGUUGUUCGGAGGGACUGGGCGUAAAGAGCACGUAGGCGGUGUUGUAAGUCAUUAGUCAAAGACUAGAGCUCAACUUUAGUAAGGCUAGUGAUACUAUAAUACUAGAGAAUCAGAGAGGAUUGCAGAAUUCCUGGUGUAGCGGUGAAAUGCGUAGAUAUCAGGAGGAAUACCGUUAGCGAAGGCGGCAAUCUGGCUGGAAACUGACGCUGAGGUGCGAAAGCGUGGGUAGCAAACAGGAUUAGAUACCCCAGUAGUC